CCUACGGGAGGCAGCAGUGGGGAAUCUUGCGCAAUGGGCGAAAGCCUGACGCAGCCAUGCCGCGUGAAUGAUGAAGGUCUUAGGAUUGUAAAAUUCUUUCACCGAGGACGAUAAUGACGGUACUCGGAGAAGAAGCCCCGGCUAACUUCGUGCCAGCAGCCGCGGUAAUACGAAGGGGGCUAGCGUUGCUCGGAAUUACUGGGCGUAAAGGGAGCGUAGGCGGAUAGUUUAGUCAGAGGUGAAAGCCCAGGGCUCAACCUUGGAAUUGCCUUUGAUACUGGCUAUCUUGAGUACGGAAGAGGUAUGUGGAACUCCGAGUGUAGAGGUGAAAUUCGUAGAUAUUCGGAAGAACACCAGUGGCGAAGGCGACAUACUGGUCCGUUACUGACGCUGAGGCUCGAAAGCGUGGGGAGCAAACAGGAUUAGAUACCCUGGUAGUCCACGCUGUAAACGAUGAGUGCUAGUUGUCGGCAUGCAUGCAUGUCGGUGACGCAGCUAACGCAUUAAGCACUCCGCCUGGGGAGUACGGUCGCAGAUUAAAACUCAAAGGAAUUGACGGCUGAGACGNGCGAGACGACGACGAGGGAGGAGG
This 592-nucleotide ribosomal RNA is filed under the name uncultured bacterium. RNAcentral describes it as "bacterial SSU rRNA". It matches the Rfam family "Bacterial small subunit ribosomal RNA", at positions 338 to 948 of the family's 1533-position model. The record is from RNAcentral.